CGAAGCGGACGCAGGUGAGCUAAGCGCGAGGCUGAAGGACGAAAGGGCUCAAAUGCAGAAGGCGGGCGGAACCAGCGAGGCGGGCUUCCGUUUUUAUAGGAAAGGCGCGGGGGAAGCCAAAUCGAUGCCCCUGCCGCCAUAAAUGCGGCGCCAGGUAUGCCCCUGCCACGCCCACUUCCUUUUCGGAAACUGCGCGCGCGAUCGGCCGCGAAAACAUCCAAUCCUCCUCGAUCCGCGGGACGACGCUCCCCAUAACUCCGUCUCCCGAAAGGCACGCCCACGACGUCCCCCACAUUCGGCCCAAACGCAACGACCGCUCCAUUCCAGCCUAAGGCCCACCGAAAGGUAAGAAAGGGAUACGGGGCUGAAAAACGUCCCUACGGCCCAUUACGGUCCAGAGGUUCGAAGGCUGGCCCACCACGGGUUCGACAGCUGCCUCAGGACACCCCCCGAGCGAGGGGUGAGAAGGGACGGGUCCGCUAGCGGCCAACACCCAGGCGAGCGAAAGCCAAGGGCGUCCCAACCUCACGUUCGAGUUCUGACCGGCAUAAAGUUCAUGGUUUUUUCCACAGGGAAAGGCAACGAGCCCCCGGAUCCGGCCGAACGAACCCGGGGAACUAUAUGAACUGGCCGGCGGGAGAUUGGAGUACGCCACCAGCUUGGCCCGAGCCAGACCCCCCCGAACGAGGACCGGGACUCCACUCGAACCUAACUGUUCACAGCUCAAACGAGCACCACGGUUCGUCCAACGAGGAUAACAUGGCACGGCUCAACCCCUCCAUCCUAGCGAACGGACACUUGAGGGGCAACGAUCAAAAGUCGACCUGGCCUCCCGACCGGUCUCCUGCAACGCGCGGGGGCUCGGGGGCUAGCAUCGCAACCAACGACCCCGCGUGUGGUCGCGAUUCGCAGGUUCCCCGGCCAAGCUGGGCUAAAACAAACGCAC
Molecule: long non-coding RNA, 946 nt
Filed under: Setaria viridis
Lineage: Eukaryota; Viridiplantae; Streptophyta; Magnoliopsida; Poales; Poaceae
Description: long non-coding RNA (SVIR_LNC008755)
Source: RNAcentral